Molecule: long non-coding RNA, 11578 nt
Filed under: Citrus x clementina
Lineage: Eukaryota; Viridiplantae; Streptophyta; Magnoliopsida; Sapindales; Rutaceae
Description: Citrus clementina (C. clementina) long non-coding RNA (CCLE_LNC004368)
Rfam family: Plant small nucleolar RNA R71 (bases 8810-8916)
Source: RNAcentral
AAUGUACAAACACCAUUAUCUUCUGAGGUGGAUAUUGUAGUCCCAACGUAGGAGAGCAAUAAGGAUCCAGUAAGUUUUAUGUUCUUUGAUGUAAUAUUAUUUAUUUAUUUUUUAAUUUUUAAUGGUCACUAAAUAAUGGUCAUUAUUUAGGAACCUGUGAUCACAUACCAAUUACAAGGAUGUGAUAUUUAUCCAUCGUUUCCUUUUGAUUCUUACAUUGUAAGUUAUAAUCCAAUUUCUAUAUUUAUGCUUAAUUAAUUUUAUAUUUUCUGGAAUGUAAUAUGGUUCUUAUUUUGUACAAACUAGCAAUCCCAUCUAUGUCCUUAUUCUUCAUCUUAGAUAUCGUAUAAAGGUUCUCAAUAAGGGAGUUUUCAGCAAUUGCUACUUCAACAAAAUGAUAAUGACAGAGAAGUUUGGAGCAAACUUAACAGAUUGAUCAUUGACUUAUUCUUUUGUUGUAUAAUUUUAGUUGUGUUUUGUGUAUUAGUUGGUUGGAUGGUAUUACUCUAAUGCUCAAUGAUUGAACAUGGAAAUAUUUUGAAGGUUUUUUAUCCAUAUAUUCAAAGGUUGAGUGUGUCAAUAACCAUUACAACAAUAAGAGUAGUUCAUAUAGAAAUGGCAAAUUAAAAAAAAAAGAUACAAUUAUUCACUUAAACAAAUGUUUCUAUGUCAAUCUUCCUAGCUUCAAGCCUAACUGAACCAGGCAAUUGGUUGUUCAUUUUCCUCUCACAAUUGUAAGCAUUGUAUGCUGAUUCGGCAUCCAACAAUGAUCUGUAAGAUUGGAAUGAAUCAAAUACAUAUUAGCAGCAUAAAGAGAAAAAGAAAAGGAUGGAUUCUAUUUUUCAAGGAUAAAAAUCAAAUACAAGUCACGUUUGGUUUGAUUUUAGAGGAGGGUUAAUGAAGCAAUAUAUGCUUUAUAGAAAAUAAAGAACCUUAGAAUGAAGCUGCAAUUACUGGAUUAACAGAAGAAAAUUAGGGAAUUCUAUGUGGUAAAGAACUUAACAAUGCAGCUAAGACCAAAAACAAUUGCCUCAACUAAAGAAUUCACAGAAACGUGUGAUAUAUCAAACUACCCAGAAUAUGUUUGAAGAACAACUUGAAAAUCUUAAUACACACCAUAUAUGCAAACUUUAAAUACCAAAAAAAAAAAUGAGUGCCAGCAGACGUAAACAUUAUAUAAGCAAAAACAUAAUUAUAACCAAACCAUAAGCUUUCAACAUUUCACAAAAUAUCACACUUCAAAUAACUUAUUUCUAGUAAUUUUCAAAUAUAAAAAAAAACAAAUACUUUUCUAAUCGAAGUAUUGUUGUGAAAAUUUUAAUAUACUCGCAAGCGCACGAAUCUAGAAAUAGAAUAGUGGUAACGAGGUCAAUCCCACAGGGAUUGUUAUAAAUUAAAAAGUCUAAUUUAAAUCUAAAAUUAAUAUUAAUUAUAACCUAGUUGAGCAAAUUGAGUUUUUAAGAAAAUUAAACCAAUUAAACUAAGGAAGCAAUUAAAAUAAAGGAGAAUUCAAUAAGAUAAGAAUUACCAAGGUUUCAGAAUCCACCACUAUUCAACUAGUAAUUAUCUAAUUAUUAAUUAAUCCCCAAUUUUAGAGUGACAACUCGAAAUCAAUCUAUGUCAUCUCAUGGAUAUAACAAUUAAGCCCAAGUAAUUAAAUCUAAUGUAGGUUCUUUUUCUGCUUAAUAAUAUGACAUCUAAGAAUCUCAUGUAAACAUAUUGAAUAACAAAGAGUCAAAGUUUCCUAAGCACUCCAUGUAAACAAUUUAAUGAAAGACAUAAAAUCAAAGAUAAUCAUGUAUAAACUUUAUAGAUCCAAGCAUAGAAUUAAUCGAAUAUUAAUCCUAACAAUCAAUAAUGCAUGACAGAAUUGAUGAAAAGAUUUUAUUAACAUCCAAUUAAUCAUGUGAAAUAAAAACCAUAAUCAUCAAAGAACAUAUAUAGGGAAUUAAUUAAAUAAAAAGAUAAUUAUUUCAUUGAAUAGGGUUUCAUCCUUAACCUCAGUAUAAGAAAAUUUGUUAGACAUACUUGAAUUGGGAGCAACAAAAUAAAUAAAUUCAGCCAUGGGGAAGCCGAAUUGCUGCAGAUUUUCUUCUCUGUCUUGAAUCCUUGCGUCUCCAGUUCUCUCUCCUCCCGUGGCCCUCUUGCCUUUAUAUAAUGUUACUGACUUGUUUAAUCCUUAUUGGAUUCUAAUUGCAUUAAUUCUUCUCCACCGACUUAUAAAGCCCACUCACCAAGGCCUUUUAAAAUUAUUUCCUUACUAAACUUUGAAAGCAAAGCACGCGUUUGACCACAAAAGCAAAAGGCCAAUUAAUGAUUUCUUCUUUUAAUGCCCAGCACAUGCAUUCCAAAUUGCCAAAUCUUUGCUUUCCAAAUGCAUGCCCACCGUUCAUCCUUUGAAGAGAUUGACUUCCAAUUUUGGUCUUCUUGACUUCCAUUAAUUCUUGGUUGCAUUUUUGUCUUCCAAUUUAAUCUUUAUUCCUUCUCAAUUUGAAGUGUUUUCAUGCCCUUUUUAUCAACAAUCUCCAAUUAAUUCCCUAUUCAAUAAAACAAUUCAAUUAAUUAAAAAUAACAAAUAAAUAUAACUAGCAAUUAUAUUAUUAAGGGUAAAAUGUGUAUAUAAAUUAUGCUCAUCAAAUACCCCCAAACUUAGAUUUUGCUAGUCCUCGAGCAAAACUAAAAUUUAAAACAAAAACAAAAGUAACGAAACAAAAAGUAAAUCCUAACUAAACCACUUUCGCAGGUAAUCGCGAUUGCAUUUAGCGUAUGCAACAAGCCUUUAAACCCCUAGGCGGCCCUAGUGGACUAGUUAUAGUCUCGUGAGGGCUUCAGUGAUGAUACCCACAAACAUCAUUAAAAAAAAUUAAAUUAAAAGAAAAAAAACUUUAAAUAAAACAUGAAAAAUAGCCUCAAAGAUUGCAAAAAUUAUAUAGCUCAAAGAAAAUUUCAAAUAUUGGCAAAGUUCUAACUUUAAUUCAAUAAUCAAUCCCAUCUCUCUUUCGAUUCUUGUAGUGUGUGUGUGAAAUCAAUUCAAUCAAAUUCAUUCCUAAAAUCUUCAAUAUCCACAACAUUCGCCUCAAACAAAGAACAGAGUAGGUCAAACUAAUCUUAUCAUCUUGAUCUCCAAAUUUUUUUCUUCUCACAGGCUUUUAUGUGCAUUUUCUUUUGAUUUUUUUUUUAGCACAUGCACUUGAUUUUUUUUUCUUUUUCUCUUUUUUUUUCCUUUUUUUUUAACCAUAGUCAGGAGCUUUCACUCUACCCCUUAAGGUAGCCUUCUUCUCAUGGUAGAUUAUCCUCUACAUACUUGUGGUACAUAGGCCCAAAUUACUCAAGGAUAGCUUCACUCUUAAGGGUUAUAGGUAGCUAUUUCUGACUUUGGUGCCCGUGUAUACUAUUUUGUAUUGUGGAGAUAAGAAUCAAGACAAACAGUCAUUUACUCUAUCUAAAAUUCUCAACUCAGGCUGCGUCAAUAUCAAAUUUCAAGUCAAAAUUACGAAAGAAUUGAUAUUAGUGCUCAUGGUUUAAAGAAUCUCAAUCAAGAGGAACUAACACAAGAAUCAAGUAUAAACUAAGACAAUAUUCAACCCUUUCUAAAAAUCAUAUUCAUUGUCAAUCAAGUUCUUAUCAUUGGCUUUUCACGUAAAAACUAAAAAACACAAUUUUUUUUUGAAUUUUUGAAUUUUUUUUUUAACAAACAAAGCACACACUAUUCCCACCCCCAAACUUAUUCGGAAUAUUGUCCUCAAUGUUUCACAAACAAAAGAUAUGCAUGCAAACAAAUGAAAGAGAAAAAAAAUUAAUAAUAAUAAAAACAUAAAUAAUAAAAAGAAAGUUGGAGAGAACACACCUGAAUGGGCUGGGAAAGCUUAAAAGAAAAUACCAAAUGAAAAGAAAACAUUAGAAAAGAAAAAUACUAGAAAAGAAAAACAAACAAAGAAAAAAAAACUACUAUUAAAAUAAAACAAGAGUGCAAAGAUGAACUUAAUUAAUCCUGAUAAACAGGAUCAUCUAAAAGUAUCUCCUCAACUUCUGGUGUUCUUAAUUCUAAAAAUGGUUUUAAUCUUUGGCCAUUCACCUUAAAUAAAUCACCAUUUUUAGGAUUUUCAAUCUCAAUUGCUCCAUAAGGGAAGACAGUACGAACUAUAAAAGGACCAGACCAUCGAGAACGUAACUUACCUGGAAAGAGAUGCCAUCGGGAAUUAUAUAAAAGUACUUUCUGACCUGGUGUAAAGACUUUUCUCAAAAUGUGUUUGUCAUGAAAGACUUUCAUUCGCUGUUUAUAAAUCUUGGCAUUCUCAUAUGCAUCAUUCCUGAUCUCUUCAAGUUCUGCUAGUUGUAAUCUUCUCUUGGAACCAGUCUGCUGCAUGUCAAAAUUGAAUUGCUUGAUAGCCCAAUAUGCACGAUGCUCCAACUCUACUGGCAGAUGACAUGCUUUUCCAUACACAAGUCGAUAAGGUGACAUCCCAAUUGGUGUUUUAAAAGCAGUUCUAUAUGCCCACAAUGCAUCAUCAAGUCUCAAAGACCAAUCCUUUCUAUCUGGCCUAACUGUUUUCUCUAGAAUCUGCUUGAUCUCUCUAUUAGAAAUCUCUACUUGGCCACUGGUUUGAGGAUGGUAUGGGGUGACAACCUUAUGUGUAAUGGAAUAUUUGUUCAAAAGAGUUUUGAAAGGUUUAUUGCAAAAAUGGGUACCACCAUCACUAAUGAUUGUUCUAGGGAAACCAGAACGAGACAGAAUAUUACUCUUCAAGAAUUUCACUACAACCCUAUGAUCAUUGGUUUUGCAUGGAGUGGCUUCAACCCACUUCGACACAUAGUCUACUGCAACCAAUAUAUACUGAUAACCACAAGAUGGAGGAAAAGGUCCCAUGAAAUCAAUACCCCAUACAUCGAAGAUCUCAAUCACAAGAAUAGGAUUGAGUGGCAUCAUGUUCCUCUUUGAAAUGCUACCCAUACGUUGGCACCUAUCACACAAAGAACAGAAAAUAUAAGCGUCAUGAAAAAGAGUAGGCCAAUAAAAACCACAUUGUAAAAUUUUUGUUACUGUCUUUUUAGCACUAAAGUGGCCUCCACAAGCUUGUUCAUGGCAAAAUGAGAUAACACUUUGAAUCUCAUUAUCGGGAACACAUCGCCUAAUAAUCUGAUCAGCACAAUAUUUAAAUAAAUAGGGAUCAUCCCCAAANNNNNNNNNNNNNNNNNNNNNNNNNNNNNNNNNNNNNNNNNNNNNNNNNNNNNNNNNNNNNNNNNNNNNNNNNNNNNNNNNNNNNNNNNNNNNNNNNNNNNNNNNNNNNNNNNNNNNNNNNNNNNNNNNNNNNGGGAAAGACUCAAUUCAAAGGUAAAGAUUCUGGAUAAAUUUAAGAUCAAGGCGAGAUAAAUGAUCCGCCACAACAUUUUCAGAACCUUUUUUAUCUCUAAAUUCAAUGUCAAAUUCUUAUAAAAGCAACACCCAACGAAUCAAUCUUGCCUUGGCAUCUUUCUUAGUAAACAAAUAUUUUAAAGCAGCAUGAUCAGUAAAAAUAAUCACUUUACAACCUAUAAGAUAAGAUCUGAAUUUAUCAAGUGCAAAUACCACAGCUAGCAUUUCUUUUUCUGUAGUUGAAUAGUUCAACUGUGCAUCAUUGAAUGUCAUACUAGCAUAAUAAAUCACAUAAGGCACACGAUCUAAUCUUUGUCUUAAAACUGCUCAUGCAGCAUAAUCAGAUGCAUCACACAUAAUUUCAAAAGGCAAAUCCCAAUUAGGUGGCUGAAUGAUAGGUGAAGAAGUCAACAAUUUCUUAAGCUUUGCAAAAGCAUCAAGACAAGAUUCAUCAAAGAUAAAAGGUGCAUCCUUAACAAGUAAAUUGCAUAAAGGUCUAGAAAUUUUACUAAAAUCUUUAAUGAAUCUUCUAUAAAAACCAGCAUGUCCAAGGAAAGAUCUUACUUCUUUUACGGAUUUAGGAUAUGGAAGAUUAGAAAUUAAAUCCACCUUAGCUUUGUCGACUUCUAUACCUUUGCUGGAAAUUAUAUGACCAAGAACAAUACCUUGUUUUACCAUGAAGUGACACUUUUCCCAAUUUAGAACCAAGUUCUUUUCUUUACAUCUCUGCAAAACUAAUGUUAGGUGCUGUAAACAUUCAUCAAAAGAAUCUCCAUAAACAGAAAAAUCAUCCAUGAAUACUUCAAGAAAUCUCUCAACCAUAUCAGAAAAAAUACUAAGCAUGCAUCUUUGAAAGGUAGCAGGUGCAUUGCAUAAACCAAAUGGCAUUCUCCUAUAUGCAAAAGUUCCAAAGGGACAAGUAAAAGUAGUUUUCUCCUGGUCCUCUGGAGCUAUAGGGAUCUGAUUAUAACCUGAAUAUCCAUCUAGAAAAUAAUAAAAAUCAUGACCUGCAAGUCUAUCAAGCAUUUGAUCAAUAAAUGGAAGAGGAAAAUGAUCUUUUCUUGUGAAUGAAUUCAAUUUUCUAUAAUCAAUGCAAACACGCCAACCUGUAGUUACUCUAGUGGGAAUUAAUUCAUUAUUAGCAUUAGUAACUACUGUAACACCAGAUUUCUUAGGAACAACUUGCACAGGGCUAACCCAAGAGCUAUCUGAAAUAGGAUAAAUAAUUCCUGCAUCUAAUAAUUUGAUUACUUCAGCUCUUACCACUUCUUUCAUGUUAGGAUUUAGCCUACGUUGCAUUUCCCUAAUAGGUUUAGCAUUUUCUUCAAGAUGAAUACGAUGCAUGCAAUCUACUGGAUUAAUACCUUUAAUAUCAGCGAUGGUCCAUCCUAUUGCCUCCUUAUGUUUUUUUAGAAUACCUAACAACUUACCUUUUUGCUCAAGAUUGAGGGAAGAAGAAAUAAUAACAGGUAGAGUGUCAUAUUCUCCCAAAAAUGCAUAUUCCAGAGUGUCGGGCAAUGCUUUGAGUUCCAAUUUUGGUGGUGCCUCUACAGAUGGGCCAAUUUUCUUCUCAGAAUGAGGCAGUAGUUCUGACUUUGUCUUCCAUUUAGUUGUGUCCGUAAUUGGAGGUGCAUCAAGUAAAGCACUGACUUCUGCAAUUGCACUGUCAUCAUUAAAAGAUAAAUCAAAAUGAGUUAGACAUGCCUCUAAUGGAUCAUCAGUAUGGUUAGAAAUGAAUGAAUCUUCUACUAAUUCCUCUAUCAUAUUUGCUUCAACAAAUUCAUCUUCUUCUUGUGGCUGCUUGGUAACAUUAAAAAUAUUCAAUUCCAUGGUCAUAUUACCAAAAGAUAGCUGCAUAUUUCCAUUCCUACAAUUAAUAAGAGCAUCAGCUGUAGCUAAGAAAGGACGACCUAGAAUAACUGGAGUGUGUUUCUUAGGAUCAUGUACAUGCUGAGUAUCAAUAACGAUAAAAUCAACAGGAUAAUAAAAUUUGUCAAUCUGUAUCAACACAUCCUCUAUAAUACCACGAGGUAUUUUCAUUGAUCUAUCAGCAAGUUGCAAAAUAAUAGGAGUUGAUUUUAACUCACCUAGUCCAAGUUGCAUGUAAACAGAAUAAGGCAAGAGAUUAACACUAGCACCCAAAUCCAAUAAUGUUUUAUCAAAACAUUGGUUCCCUAUAACACAUGAGAUAGUAGGAGAACCAGGAUCCUUAAAUUUUGGUGGCAUUUUACAUUGAAGUAAAUUGCUAGUUUGUUCAGUUAAAAAUGCCUUUUUAGUGACAUGUAAAUUUCUCUUUUUAGUACAUAAAUCUUUCAAAAACUUGGCAUAGGAAGGAACUUGCUUAAUAGCAUCGAGUAAAGGGAUGUUUAUACUUACCUGCUUAAAGAUUUCCAUAAUCUCACCUGUUGAAGUCCCUUUCUUUGCCUUUGUUAACCUUUGAGGAAAGGAGCCUUGGGAAUGUAAGCUGGCGGGCCACUCUCUUCAGGAUCAUUUGGUGAUGGGUCUUGUGAUGGAACUGGAUCUGAAGAAGUAGGCUCAUAUGUUUUUCUUGUUUGAACCUCCACCUUGUUGUCAAAUAACUUUCCUCUUCUCAAGGUCAUAACAGAUUUUGCUUCUUCAUGCUGAUGGCUUGAACUCGAUCCAACUUCGUGCACUCCUUUGGGAUUAGGAAUUGGUUGAAUUGGAAAUUUUCCUUUUUCUCUCUCAGCUACAGUAGUUGCUAAUUGACCCAAUUGAUGUUCAAGCUUUAGAAUAGCUUGAGUGUUUGACUGAAAAGCUUGUUGGGUUGACUGAAUGAAACUUUGAAGUGUAUCCUCUAAAGAAGGCUUUCUUUGUUGGGGUGCAACAAAUUGAGACAUAGGUUGUUGGGCAGGAGGAUGUAGUUGGUUAGGAGGGACAAAUUGUUGAUUGGACAUGUUCAACUGUUGUCCUCCUUGGUUUGACAAAGGCUGAUUUUGUUUCCAAGAAAAAUUAGGGUGAUUCCUCCAAUUAGGAUUAUAUGUGGGUGAAUAUGGAUUAUUAGGGGUUUUCUCAUAUGAUUGUAAGGCAUGUACCUGCUCAGAAUAAGCCUCUUGAUAGACUGGUAAUGAUGGACAAUUCUGUGCUGUAUGAGACAAGUUAGAACAAAUAGCACAAACCUCAUUAUCUACACUAGGAUGAUGAUUCAUUGAUUGGUUUAGAGCUAAGGCAUCUACUUUCCUAGAAAGUGUAACUAUAGUGGAUUUCACAUCAAAAUCAUCCUUAACUUCAUAUAACCCCUUUCUAGAAACUUGAGAUGAUUUUUCUCUUUGAUUUGAAAAAUCCCACUGUUGAGAAUUCUCAAAAAGUGAAUUAAAGAAAUCCCAUGCAGCCCUUUCAUGUAAGUUCAAAAAUCUCCCACCAUUCAUAGACUCUACCAUAUGACGAUUUGACAUGGUUAAACCGUUAUAAAAGCAUUAUAUAAGUCUCCAUUUUUCAAAACCAUGGUGGGGACACUUAAGGAGUAAAUCAUUGAAUCUUUCCCAACACUCGUAAAAUUGCUCACCCUCUCUUUGAUAAAAAUCACUUAUCUCUCUCCUAAGGGCAUUUGUUUUAGACAUAGGGAAAAACUUGGUGAGAAACUUAUUACUCAAUUCAUCCCAUGUACUAAUAGAUCCAUCAGGAAGUGAAUUCAACCAAGCUUUUGCUUUGUCUUUUAAUGAGAAAGGGAACAUACGAAGCUUAAUUGACUCAUCAUUAAAAUUUUGAAAACGGAAUGUAGAGCAUAUGUCAAGAAAUUCCUUAAUGUGCAAAUAUGGAUCCUCUCUUUCUAACCCAUGGAAAGAUGGCAAAAGUUGAAUGACAGAGGGCUUAAGUUCAAAGUGUGUUGCUGUAGUUUGUGGCAACACAAUACAAGAUGGUUGGUUGGCUGCAAGUGGUGAAAAGUAUUCGCUAAGGGUUUUCUCUGCUUACACUGGUGGAAGUAUUGGCAAUAAUCUAUUUGGGUCAUCCAUCACUUCUAAAGAACUAGCUUGACUACUAUCAAUUUUUGACUCUCUUUUAACCAAACGAUUUGUUGAAUCACGUUCCCAAACACUCAUAAACUAACCAGACAAGGAAAGAAAAUAAAAUAAAAUAAACCAACAAUAAUGAGAAUAAACGAAAUUAAACAACUAAAGAAUGAAUUCAAAAUAAAAUAAAAAAAAAAUAAAAAUCGAAUAAAUAAAAUAAAAGACAACCUAAAUUAUAACUAGUGGAAAAAUCAAAUUAACCUAGAUUAAACUUGACUUUCUAGCACAAUCCCCGGCAACGGCGCCAAAAACUUGUUGUGAAAAUUUUAAUAUACUCGCAAGCGCACGAAUCUAGAAAUAGAAUAGUGGUAACGAGGUCGAUCCCACAGGGAUUGUUAUAAAUUAAAAAGUUUAAUUUAAAUCUAAAAUUAAUAUUAAUUAUAACCUAGUUGAGCAAAUUGAGUUUUUAAGAAAAUUAAACCAAUUAAACUAAGGAAACAAUUAAAAUAAAGGAGAAUUCAAUAAGAUAAGAAUUACCAAGGUUUCAGAAUCCACCACUAUUCAACUAGUAAUUAUCUAAUUAUUAAUUAAUCCCCAAUUUUAGAGUGACAACUCGAAAUCAAUCUAUGUCAUCUCAUGGAUAUAACAAUUAAGCCCAAGUAAUUAAAUCUAAUGUAGGUUCUUUUUCUGCUUAAUAAUAUGACAUCUAAGAAUCUCAUGUAAACAUAUUGAAUAACAAAGAGUCAAAGUUUCCUAAGCACUCCAUGUAAACAAUUUAAUGAAAGACAUAAAAUCAAAGAUAAUCAUGUAUAAACUUUAUAGAUCCAAGCAUAGAAUUAAUCGAAUAUUAAUCCUAACAAUCAAUAAUGCAUGACAGAAUUGAUGAAAAGAUUUUAUUAACAUCCAAUUAAUCAUGUGAAAUAAAAACAAUAAUCAUCAAAGAACAUAUAUAGGGAAUUAAUUAAAUAAAAAGAUAAUUAUUUCAUUGAAUAGGGUUUCAUCCUUAACCUCAGUAUAAGAAAAUUAGUUAGACAUACUUGAAUUGGGAGCAACAAAAUAAAUAAAUUCAGCCAUGGGGAAGCCGAAUUGCUGCAGAUUUUCUUCUCUGUCUUGAAUCCUUGCGUCUCCAGUUCUCUCUCCUCCCGUGGCCCUCUUGCCUUUAUAUAAUGUUACUGACUUGCUUAAUCCUUAUUGGAUUCUAAUUGCAUUAAUUCUUCUCCACCGACUUAUAAAGCCCACUCACCAAGGCCUUUUAAAAUUAUUUCCUUACUAAACUUUGAAAGCAAAGCACGCGUUUGACCACAAAAGCAAAAGGCCAAUUAAUGAUUUCUUCUUUUAAUGCCCAGCACAUGCAUUCCAAAUUGCCAAAUCUUUGCUUUCCAAAUGCAUGCCCACCGUUCAUCCUUUGAAGAGAUUGACUUCCAAUUUUGGUCUUCUUGACUUCCAUUAAUUCUUGGUUACAUUUUUGUCUUCCAAUUUAAUCUUUAUUCCUUCUCAAUUUGAAGUGUUUUCAUGCCCUUUUUAUCAACAAUCUUCAAUUAAUUCCCCAUUCAAUAAAACAAUUCAAUUAAUUAAAAAUAAUAAAUAAAUAUAACUAGCAAUUAUAUUAUUAAGGGUUAAAUAUAUAUAUAAAUUAUGCUCAUCAAGUAUCACAUAAAAGGUUUUGUAAAGGCUGUGUCAAAAGAAUUUCUUUAACUGAUUAAAUAUACUAAUUUUAGGUGACAAUAAUAUAAUAAUAUUAAACUAAAUUAACUUAAUUUUGAGAAAAAAAUUUCAAAAAACGCAUAGAAUUACGGAUCAAGUCUAAUUAACAAUCAAACGUAGUAACCCAGAUGCAUUUAUGCCAAAAAGAAUGUUCAUAAGACUACACAAAACCACCCAAAAAAUAUUAUAAAAUAAUAAAAGCAACAACUGCGAUAGAUUUUGCCAGAACAAGAAACACAACAAAACAAAGAGAAUAAAUCAAUCAAGGGCAUAAAUAGAUUGAACAAAAAAGGGCAAGAUCAGAAAAGAAACCGACCCACGACGCUGGAUCCUCCUAAUCCUAGCGUCAUGGUUGCGGUUUUGAUGAUGCGUUAGCUGAGAUCUGAGUAAAAUAUUGACAGUGAGCUUGUGGGUGAGUGAAAGGGGAACGAGCUUCGUGGCUGAGAGUGAGAGCCGAGAGGGAUAGAGCGGGUGAGAGAGAGAGAGGGGGUGAGUGAGGAGAGGGAUAAAAAUUUAGAUUUUUUAAUUUGUUUUGAUUAGUUUUUAUUAUUUU